UCCUACGGGAGGCAGCAGUGGGGAAUUUUCCGCAAUGGGCGAAAGCCUGACGGAGCAAUACCGCGUGAGGGAAGACUGCCUAUGGGUUGUAAACCUCUUUUUUCAGGGAGGAAUAAAAUGACGUGUACCUGAAGAAUAAGCAUCGGCUAACUCCGUGCCAGCAGCCGCGGUAAGACGGAGGAUGCAAGUGUUAUCCGGAAUCACUGGGCGUAAAGCGUCUGUAGGUGGUUUAAUAAGUCAACUGUUAAAUCUUGAGGCUCAACUUCAAAAUCGCAGUCGAAACUAUUAGACUAGAGUAUAGUAGAGGUAAAGGGAAUUUCCAGUGGAGCGGUGAAAUGCGUAGAUAUUGGAAAGAACACCGAUGGCGAAAACACUUUACUGGGCUAUUACUAACACUCAGAGACGAAAGCUAGGGUAGCAAAUGGGAUUAGAUACCCCAGUAGUCCUAGCCGUAAACAAUGGAUACUAGAUGUUGAACAGAUCGACCUGUGCAGUAUCAAAGCUAACGCGUUAAGUAUCCCGCCUGGGAAGUAUGCUCGCAAGAGUGAAACUCAAAGGAAUUGACGGA
RNAcentral lists this ribosomal RNA (568 nucleotides) under uncultured bacterium. RNAcentral's name for it is "bacterial SSU rRNA". It matches the Rfam family "Bacterial small subunit ribosomal RNA", at positions 337 to 917 of the family's 1533-position model. The record is from RNAcentral.